UCGUGACACACUAUGCCUUAUCUAAUUAGCCAAAACAUCCAAUUCAACUCCAAAUAUCUUCAUUACACUUCCAAUAUUCCAAAUACACCAAAGUACCUUAAUGAGCUUAAUUGUGACUUAAUUCACUGUAACCAAAAUUCAUUCCGAUUUCGAUAUCCGAUACCAUAAAUCAUCAAUUACGAGCUAAAUAACAUGAAUUACAACCAAAUCCAUCAUCAACAUGCCCUAUAGAAAAUUCGACCAAAUGAGGGUGGUUGAAGAACAUGUGAUUUUUUUGCUUGUUUUUCCUUCCAAACAUCACAAAAUGACUAAAAACACUAGGAUAUUAUGAAAUCUAGCAAAACUCAUCACCAAAACUUCUCUCUCUAGGUUUGGCCAACAAAGGUUCCUUCUUGAAAACUUGAAUUUCAGCCAUGGAGAAUGAAAAAGAAUGCAUGGGAAAGGUAGAUCACAAGCUAAAAUAAAAAAAAAUCUUACCUUUGCUUACUUGAUUCCUUGAAAUCCAACAAUUUCUCUUAGAUUUUUCCUUUCUAAGGUUUUUUCUUCUCUUUUUCUCUUCG
RNAcentral lists this long non-coding RNA (560 nucleotides) under Theobroma cacao (cacao). Its description in RNAcentral is "long non-coding RNA (TCAC_LNC005544)". Lineage: Eukaryota; Viridiplantae; Streptophyta; Magnoliopsida; Malvales; Malvaceae. The record is from RNAcentral.